Toxotes jaculatrix (banded archerfish) is the source of this 5622-nucleotide long non-coding RNA. RefSeq lists it as uncharacterized. The transcript has 15 exons. The record is from RefSeq and is a predicted model, not a curated record. Lineage: Eukaryota; Metazoa; Chordata; Actinopteri; Toxotidae.
UUCAGUUCUUUGAGUUUUGCUUCACGUGGGCAGUUGUUACAAGGACACUUGAAUGAUGAUUGAGGAUUUUGUCGAACUUUAAAUAACUGAAGAAUCUCGCCAGACGCUAUGUUGCGGGUCUAUUUCGCCCUCUACCUUGUCUUGCAGGCAGGUCGCUAAGGGUUAAAGGUUUAUUUGUUUUACACACUGUUUUAUUUGGUCUCCUGUACAUGAAGAAAGCUGUGACAGUUCAAAGGAAAAUGAAAGUGUUUUAUUGUUAACUACUUAUGCACUUUUGUGAAAAACCCUAUAAAAUAUAACAGUUAGACUGGGAAGGUUAAAUAUUCCUCUGGGAGUGAAAGCUGUUUAUUAAUUUAGUGUGUACAUCCAGAAUAUGAAAAAUGAGUGAUUGCUUGUUAUAGAUGAUAGGCAGAUGUAUCCAAACUGUUCCACAAACCAAGCAGCAGCACACCUGACUUAAUCAACUGAUCUCAGUCUUCAGACAGCUGAUUGGUCAAACGGUGUGCUCUUGACUGGUUGAAAUAAAAAACCUGCAGCCACACGGCCCUUUGAAAUGUGACUGUGAAUGGAUUCUGUGUAGUACUAUUGAGGUGCUGAUAUUCUUGGAUUCUUGUUUUAUAUUUAUCAUCAUAUUUAUCUGAUGUGUCACUAUUGUGCAAUAAGACUUCAUACCAUUUUUCUGUCUGUGCAAUUGUCUUCCAGUGUGAUAUUUUCUUGCAAUGCUACACACUGUGGUCAUAUCUGUAAUAGGUGUGUAUCAUGUACAUAGUUUUUAUCUCUCACUCAGUCUUUUUCUUCUUCUUCUUUUUCUUCUGAGCUGCUGUAACAAGUGGAUUUCCCCUGUGGGGCUCAGUGGUAGUUUCAUCUCAUCUCAUCUCUCAUCUCUACGAGGACUAGAACAGAGGAAUAUGUGGGGUUGAGAUGUACUGCAGCAAAGUCAGAGAGCAUCUCAUUCUGCCGACGCCUCCAUUUGUUACCGAGUGGUGUGCAACUAGUGAAGCAAAGACGCUCUGCUCGCCACCAGCACUGAUGCACAGCAGAAAAAAAAAGAUAAGUUUAAUAAAUGUAUAUUGAUUUCAUAGUGUAAUAUUGUUGUCACUCUGCUCUACACCCCCCCACCCCCCCCCCCCACCCCCCCCUCACACCCCCAGCAACAUGACAACACAAAAACAUGGGGUUUUUAUUAAUGAUGAUGUUGGAAAUAUACCCUGGCUCUCACCAAACAGGCACGCUGAAGAGAUGAGAAGGUGAUGUCAGAAUUUGCUGAACACGCCUCCGUCUCUUCUCCCACAUGCUAUCGACACUUUGAAGCCUAGGGAAUGUUUAAGUAUUGAACCUGAGCAGGUGCACGGGUGCUGCUGAUUGCAUGCACGUUGAGAUGAAAGAUUAUUUUCAGUUAGAUCCAUGUUUUGUGAGAGCUCCAGGUGCGCAGGCGGUCGUUGGUCCCUACAUGCAGCACUGUGCAGCAAAGUCAGAAGUGUGUCCAAAGUGACGGGGACUGUGGCUGCCAUAGACCUGUAUUUACGUUGACUUUGUCAGACGAUGUUGUGAUCAUAAAGUAGCGUACACCUGUAGAUUUUUAUCAGCAACCAGCUCGCAGUCGGCUCUGCUGAAACCAAAUCCAUUUCUUUGUAUUUCUUAUCUGCCCCCCCCCGCCCGAUGUCUGCAUUAAAACACAGCAGAGGUGACCACAAAGAGGACAGGAGCGUGGGUCUUCAUGCAUUAGUUAUUAAUGGUUGAAUGCUAUCUCUCCACAGAGAGAGACUGUAAAAACUAAUGUACGAAUAAAAAGGUCACAGCUCCUGUCCGAGGUGUUGAACCUGGAGGGGGGGGGGGGGGGGGGGGGGGGGGGGGGUGUAAUCUCUUUCAUAAGCUCUAAAUUAUUGAUGUAUAAAAUUAGCUGCAGUAUCAUUGGCUGCGUUUACACACAACACUUUCAGCUGAAAGCAUCAUUGCACAUGAUGCAGUCGAGAGGCCUAAUGGGGGGGUGAACAUUCCCAAACAAAAGAAAGGCAAUAGAAAAUAGAUUUUCAACUGUCUGCAAUUUAAAUACUGCUGCGUGGUUUGUGGGGGGGGGGGGCUAACAGAUCAAAUAUGAGAAUGUUGCACCAAUGGACCAUUAGUAGAACAACGUAUAACAUUUUGUGUUAGUGCAAGUCUGAUAGAUGCUGCAUAUCGUGCUCUGUUGGUACUGUAUGGCAAGGGGAUUCAUCAGAAUUGUGGCUGAGUUUGCAUGAGGAAGCCGUUUGGAAUAAUUCUUGAGUGAAUAUCCUCACACACGAGCACCACUUUCCACUGCUGGGCUCCUUUGAAGAGGCUCGAUCCUGCACAGUGCUCCAAGGCCACAGAGGUUUCAUCCAUGAACAACAACAUCUCAUUUUUUCUCAAUGCCUCUGAAGAGCCUGUGGCCUGGUCUGAUGAAUCCACAGUGCUUCUAUGGCAAAGGACUGAAAAGAAAGUAUUUAUAAUUACAUAUCCUGUGUAUAUGUUUGAGAUGCUGCAGCUUUGAUACAUUUAAAAAAAAGAAAAAAAUCUAUUUUCAUUUCAGCAGCAGCAGGCGGGAAAAGUCCCCCCUCGUCAGGAAGAAAUUGCUGCUUUUUAUGAUGUGUUUUAUUCUUCAUUUACCAGUCUUUUACCUGUGCUGUGUAACCAUAAGCUAAGUCAGUGUGUUUUUCCUCGUGGCAGGUCGCAGUUUGUUCCCACCCCAACGCCUCUCCUGCUCCAGAAGUUGGUCCAUGCACACAGCGGAGACAGGGCAGUGGUGAACAUGUGUGCACGAUCUGGGAGUAAGAUCCAGCCUAUCAAGGAUCCGACGGCUCGAAGAAUCAGAGCAGCAAGGAUUUAUCAAAGCACCCACAGCAAAGAAGGACAGUGCCUGGUACUGCUGAGCACGAGGACCAUCCUGAAGGUGGAAGGGAAGGUGGAAUGGAUCCACGCCACAGAGCGAAUCCUCUGUGCAACCCUGUAUCUCCUCCUUGGCGUAGGAGGAGCUGCCUUCAUCCUCCUCAAUCUCCAGGAAGCAUCCAAGUGAAAACCUUGGAUCACGUCCAAAUAAGACCGUUGCAACGAGAUUUGGACGAACUGCGAAACCUGUUGCAGGGAUGACUGCAGAGCCGGGCUUCAGUGUCAUGGUUUGAGGGCAGAAUAAUCUCUUUCACCCCAGGAGCGCAGCCAGUGGCGUAGCCAAUGAAGCCCUUACACAGAUUCAAGUAGAAGUGGCUGGACUGUGCAGUGAGAUGGGACGCUGUCUGUCCUUGUCAGAUGAAAGGAGACAAGUCUGGUUUUGGCUUCAAGAAUGUUCGCAGAAAGUCUUUGCGGUGCUUGCAUCAUGUUCAAGUGACUACAGACUGGGAAUAUGGCUCCUGUGAGGCUUCCCAGAAUGCCGGAAGGAGCUGGCACGCGAAGCAGUCCAGGUGGUAGACGUUCUCCUUGGCCCUCAUGACCAUCUCGAAGGCUGGAAUUAGCUUGCUGCAGGCUGCGCAGUUCCCUGUUACGCCAAACAACCUGAGCACACAAAGAAGACACACGAUGGCAGUCGGCCUGCGAUCAAUAACCAUCACGAGGCUGAGGCAGAGCAGAAUGAGGGUCUGAUGGCAGCGAAGGUGGCAGAUGUCCCUGUUUACUGUCCCAAAAACCUCCACCAAUCCGAUGAUCCACAAAGUGCUAAGGUCCUGCCGAGACUCCAGCCCACAGCUACCGCUGCAGACGUUCCGAGUGAGUGUGUGGAGGCUGAGCCCUGAGCAGAGAGGAUGGAGAGAGAGAGAGAGAGAGAGAGAGAGAGAGAAAGAGAAAGAGAGAGAGACGGAGCUCUCAGGUCACAGUCACUGGUUCUGUGAAUCUACAGCAGCAGCCUCUCUCGUCGGCCUGAGCCUCAUCGGCCUCGGCUGAUCCCAGAUCAGAGCCCUGGUCUCUGAGCUGCUCUCAGCCCUACAGCUACAUCUGAUUGGAUCUCCACUGAGCUGCCAGACCCUUGUCUGUCUUCAUCUGCUCCGGCGGGCCACAUUAAUCAUGCAUGGAUCCCGCCUGCCGGAACACACCUGCUUUUGUCACUUGGAGCUAUUUAGCAUCAACGGUUAAAAGGAGAGAGAGAGCGGUGCAGGUUCACGGCGGGGGAAAGAGCGUUGUCUUCCCCCUCCCGGGCAUCAGAAAGGUUCCACCGCGCUCCACUUUCCAGAGGUAGCGAUGGCGAGCAACGUUGUGCUGAUGGGUCAAGAAACGCGAGUCAGGCGAUCAGACGGGGGUUGGAAACAAACCAGCAGUUUCUAAAACCACUUCACUGGAGGUCACACUGAAAAUUUAACCUGCAGCCGUUAACCGAGCUGCAGGUUCUGCUGCGGUCACACCAAAGACAAAAACGUGGCGAGGCGCAAGGACAGAAAGCUUCUCCUCAGAGCCUGUUAGUCUGCAGCACCUAACAGUGACUCGCUCUCAUCACAGAGCUGAAACGGAGCGAGGUGCACCCGGGCCCCUACAGCAGGCCCGGUUUUGUCCUUUGGCAAAAGAGAAGAGGCAGAACUAAGUUCCAGAGCAGAAAAAAAAAAAGUCUGCAGAAUCACCUCUGGUAAUAUGUCAGAAGGGAGCCGUCCAAAUCCAAAGAAUAGCUGGGCCAAAGAGUAUUGACCGUUCUUAUUAGUCCACAGAGAGUUAAUGGAGAUUACUUAAUUCAAGCUCCUAUUCAUUUCGUCAGAAUAUAAAACAAGAGCAGCAGCAGUCAGAGAGAGAGAGAGAGAGAGAGAGAGAGCGGCGAAAGGCUGUCUCAUUCUCUUCGACUCUGAACAGGAAAUAAUAGACAGUGGCCAGCAACAAGUGGAAGAUGAAAACAGCAAUCAAAGAGAGGCUGCAGCUUGAGCUUCUGAAAACACCGGACAGCCAGACAUGAUUGAUUUCAGCGAAACAUAUCGAGUUUGCUCGGCUGAGAUGACAUGUGACAGACGCAAACUGCAGAAAGUGAGAAGACGGAGAACAAAGGAGAGCCUACUCUGCAAUUCCUCCGACAAACUUCAAACAUCAGACUGUCCCGGCAAGCUCUGAAAACCUGCUCUGCACACAUGAAUCGGCCCCCGCGUGCUCUCAAACCUCAACUUUUUUUUUUUUUUUCCCCCAAGCUUAAGACAAAAUAUUAACAAAAGUGAUUUAAUGACACAAGAUCUGUGACUGAGAUUACAUUGGUUUGAAUUUUCACUCUUAAAAAAUCUAUAUCUGUGUAGUUUGUCUUUAGGUUUUGCCACAUUUGUAUUGUCCCCGUUGAUUUUUCACUGGUGUCGGUUCAGGUGCUGUUCAUGGUUUUCCCACAACAAUAACAAGACACGCAAUCUAAAAUGGCCGACAAAAUUAACAGUAACUUGUGAAUCGAUUACUGUUUAAAUUCAUUUCUCGUUCCCUCAAUUAUUUUGCCAUGAAUAAAUAUCCACUAAGUGGAAAGUUCAGAGCCUGAUAAUUGGAACAACUACAGCACAAGUACUGAGAGACUUCAGUUAAAUGGCAGAACACAGUUCAUCCAACUCAGACUCUAUACUGGGCUGGAUAUUGUUUCAUCAUUUUCAUACAGGUACAAACUGAAAAUACCUCAACACCAGCUGUCUCUGUCUGCAUCGUAUAUGGUACUGUGUAUGGUGCCAUACU